This 450-nucleotide ribosomal RNA is filed under the name uncultured Glomus. RNAcentral's name for it is "SSU rRNA". It matches the Rfam family "Eukaryotic small subunit ribosomal RNA", at positions 569 to 1025 of the family's 1831-position model. Lineage: Eukaryota; Fungi; Glomeromycota; Glomeromycetes; Glomerales; Glomeraceae. The record is from RNAcentral.
AGCAGCCGCGGUAAUUCCAGCUCCAAUAGCGUAUAUUAAAGUUGUUGCAGUUAAAAAGCUCGUAGUUGAAUUUCGAGACCAGUAUGUCGGUCGUGCCUCGGUACGUACUUGCAUUAUUGGUUUCUCCCUUCUGACGAACCUCGAUGCCAUUAAUUUGGUGUCGUGGGGAAUCAGGACUGUUACUUUGAAAAAUUAGAGUGUUUAAAGCAGGCACACGCUUGAAUACAUUAGCAUGGAAUAAUGAAAUAGGACGUUUGAUUCUAUUUUGUUGGUUUCUAGGAUCGACGUAAUGAUUAAUAGGGAUAGUUGGGGGCAUUAGUAUUCAAUUGUCAGAGGUGAAAUUCUUGGAUUUAUUGAAGACUAACUACUGCGAAAGCAUUUGCCAAGGAUGUUUUCAUUAAUCAAGAACGAAAGUUAGGGGAUCGAAGACGAUCAGAUACCGUCGUAGUC